UAAAGUUUGACUCUGGCUAGUCAUUUUCUUUAUGAUAAUAGUGCAUGUAAAUUUAUGUGAGACAAUUUAAUAAAAAGUUUAAAAAGUUGUUUAUUCGGGUAAGAUGGUGUUUUAAGUCUUUAAUUCUCAGCACAUAGUAUUAAUUAAUUAACAUAAGUUAGAAUUAGGAAAUCAUUAUAAAACCUGGCUAAAAUUGUGCCAGCCGCCGCGGUUAUACUGUGAGGUUAAGUGAAUGAAGUUUGGUUAAAAAAGGUUAUUGUGAUUACUGUAACAGGAAAAGCAAGUUAUUAGGUAUAAGUGAAACAAAUAACUAAAAGAUUGUUUUUAUAGUGGUUAGUGUAUAAGAAGCCUAGAAAUUUAAGUUAUAAACCAGGAUUAGAUACCCUGUUAUUCUUAAACUAAAAUAAAAUAACCGGGGUAAUAUAUAGUUAUUGUCUUGAAACCCAAAGAGUUUGGCGGUACUUUAGUCUAGUUAGAGGAGCUUGUUCAGUAAUUGAUAAUCCUCAAAAAAUCUUACGUAUUUUGUAAUCAGUUUAUAUACCGUCGUUAUUAGAUAAUAUUAAAAGGUGUUUAAUUAUCUAAAUAUAUUUUGUUUAUAGUAUAUCAGAUCAAGGUGUAGCUAAUAAAUACGAGUCGAAUGAGCUACAUUUUAAUUUAUAAAAACGGAAAUUGAUUUUAAACCAGUCAAUAAAAGGUGGAUUUAAUAGUAAUUACGGUUUUUAGUAGGCCGUAUUGAUAAAAGCUCUGAAGUAUGUACACAUCGCCCGUCGCUCUCAUUACAAAGUGAGAUAAGUCGUAACAUAGUAGGGGUACUGGAAAGUGUCUCUAGAAUG
Molecule: non-coding RNA, 833 nt
Filed under: Faughnia haani
Lineage: Eukaryota; Metazoa; Arthropoda; Malacostraca; Stomatopoda; Parasquillidae
Source: RNAcentral